GAUCCCUGCCUCUCAGGGAGGCAGCUAAGGCCCUGCGAGAAAUCGAGUGCAGCGCCAGUAGGCUGGCAUUGCUGGGGUACCCGGCGCACCCUCCACAGCUGCUGUCCCGGGUGCUAAGCCCCUCACUGCCCGGGACUGGCGGGGCCUCUCCAAGUGCGGGGCCUACCAAGCCCAAGCCCACCCGGAACUGUAGCCGGCCCUCAAGUGCUGCGUGCAGCCCCGGUUCCCGCCCGUGCCUUUCUCUCCAUACCUCCCGGAAGGCUGAGGGAGCCGGCUCCGGCCUCGGCCAUCCCAGGAAGGGACUCCCACAGUGCAGCAGCGGGCUGAAGGGCUCCUCAAGUGCGGCCAGAGUGGGCGCCGAGGCUGAGGAGGCACCAAGAGCAAGCGAGGGCUGCGAGGGCUGCCAACACGCUGUCACCUCUCAACAGGAGCCACCCUUAGUUAAACAAGUUAAAAAGGCUCCACCUUCUGGAGCAGGAGGGAGAGGGAGAACAUCAGGAAGAAUAGCUAAUGGAUGCUGGGCUUAAUACCUGGGUGAUGGGAUGAUCUGCGCAGCAAACCACCAUGGCACACGUUUACCUAUGUAACAAACCUGCACAUCCUGCACAUGUACCCCUGAACUUAAAAUAAAAGUUGAAG
Molecule: long non-coding RNA, 639 nt
Filed under: Homo sapiens (human)
Lineage: Eukaryota; Metazoa; Chordata; Mammalia; Primates; Hominidae
Description: HSALNT0051125
Source: RNAcentral